Molecule: ribosomal RNA, 420 nt
Filed under: uncultured soil bacterium S048
Lineage: Bacteria
Description: bacterial SSU rRNA
Rfam family: Bacterial small subunit ribosomal RNA
Source: RNAcentral
ACANUGAAUAACGGGUCAGACUCCUACGGGAGGCAGCAGUCGGGAAUUUUGGGCAAUGGGGGAAACCCUGACCCAGCAACGCCGCGUGAAGGAUGAAGCCCCUCGGGGUGUAAACUUCGAAAGAAUGGGAAGAAAAAAAUGACGGUACCAUUUAUAAGCUCCGGCUAACUACGUGCCAGCAGCCGCGGUAAUACGUAGGGAGCAAGCGUUGUUCGGAUUUACUGGGCGUAAAGGGCGCGUAGGCGGCAUAUUAAGUCAGCUGUGAAAUCUCCGAGCUUAACUCGGAACUGUCAGCUGAAACUGAUGUGCUUGAGUGCAGAAGGGGCAAUCGGAAUUCUCGGUGUAGCGGUGAAAUGCGUAGAUAUCGAGAGGAACACCUGAGGCGAAGGCGGGUUGCUGGGCUGACACUGACGCUGAGGC